This 253-nucleotide ribosomal RNA is filed under the name uncultured bacterium. Its description in RNAcentral is "partial 16S ribosomal RNA". It matches the Rfam family "Bacterial small subunit ribosomal RNA", at positions 524 to 776 of the family's 1533-position model. The record is from RNAcentral.
UACGUAGGCAGCAAGCGUUGUUCGGAGUUACUGGGCGUAAAGGGUGUGUAGGCGGCCUGCUAAGUCGAACGUGAAAUCCCUGGGCUCAACCCAGGAACUGCGUCCGAUACUGGUUGGCUUGAAUCCGGGAGAGGGAUGCGGAAUUCCAGGUGUAGCGGUGAAAUGCGUAGAUAUCUGGAGGAACACCCGUGGCGAAGGCGGCAUCCUGGACCGGCAUUGACGCUGAGGCGCGAAAGCCAGGGGAGCAAACGGG